RNAcentral lists this ribosomal RNA (680 nucleotides) under uncultured bacterium. RNAcentral describes it as "bacterial SSU rRNA". It matches the Rfam family "Bacterial small subunit ribosomal RNA", at positions 102 to 779 of the family's 1533-position model. The record is from RNAcentral.
ACGGGUGCGUAACGCGUACACAACGUACCUCUGACAGGGGGAUAGCAUUGGGAAACUGGUGGUAAUACCUCAUAGUAUUGCUGGGAGGCAUUUCUCGGCGAUUAAAGUUACGGCGGUCAGAGAUCGGUGUGCGUCCGAUUAGCUAGUUGGCGGGGUAACGGCCCACCAAGGCGACGAUCGGUAGGGGGUGUGAGAGCAUGACCCCCCACAUGGGUACUGAGACACGGACCCAACUCCUACGGGAGGCAGCAGUAAGGAAUAUUGGACAAUGGUCGGAAGACUGAUCCAGCCAUGCCGCGUGAAGGACGAAGGCGCUCAGCGUUGUAAACUUCUUUUGGAUGGGGAUAAUAACCUCGAUUUAUCGGGGCUUGAAGGUACCAUCAGAAUAAGCACCGGCUAACUCCGUGCCAGCAGCCGCGGUAAUACGGAGGGUGCGAGCGUUAUCCGGAAUCACUGGGUUUAAAGGGUGCGUAGGCGGCGAGGUAAGUCAGUUGUGAAAUUCCCCGGCUCAACCGGUGGGACUGCGAUUGAUACUGCUUUGCUUGAAACAGGUUGAGGUAAGCGGAAUGUGACGUGUAGCGGUGAAAUGCAUAGAUAUGUCAUAGAACACCGAUUGCGAAGGCAGCUUGCUGGGCCUUGUUUGACGCUGAGGCACGAAAGCGUGGGGAGCAAACAGGAUU